CAUUAAUCUUAAGCUGGCUUGAUGAUGCAUUGAAGUGAUAGUGAAGGUUAAAUGGUUUGAAAGGUUACCUCUGAUCAUUGGUUUAUCAUGCAAAUUAAGCCAAAUUUCAUUCUUUGUCGUUUUUUUUGCCUUUUAGGACAUAUUUUUGAUGGAUACAAAUGAUGAUGCAUCAUUUGAAUAUCUACUCUGAUUGGUCUGUUUGCUAACUGGGGGAGCAUUCAGACUCUUAAAGUCUCCACUUCUUACAAGGCAUGCAAGAACACAUUAGUAAGCAACUGAUUAUGGAGUGGAGCUUCAAGUUCUCAAGUGUCACAGAGCAUGAAUGCUGGAGUUUUGGAAAGAGGAGAGAUUUGAUUUAUGUUUCAAAAGAGAGACUGAGUGAAAGAGGAAAGGAUGGGCAGGAAGAUGAAAAAUGAUUAUUUACGUGACCUUUAUGUUAAUUCGGUGAUGACUCUGGUUUUCUAUUUAUCAUCCUGAAUCACAUAAACCAUGAGAGAGACACAGACAGCUCUGAAUGUUCACAUCAAUCUGAGUGUGUGUGUGUGUGUGUAAGAGAGAUUUGAGCAAAGGGAACUUUUUUGCUGGUGCUGUUUGAUAAAAUCGCAUGAAAGCAUGUCAGUGGAGACAUGCUGACAAACAAACAGACAAAAAGAUGGAGUUUCGUUUGAGAAGUGAAAGGGGUAGAAAACAGAAGGACAGGACGGAGAAAUGGAUUUGCUGGCCAAAACAACUGUAUAUAGGAUAAGUAAAAAUCCUAUAAAGGCCCUAAAAAGUAUGCUAUUUAGACACUGAAGUCACACAACACCAUGUAUACAUUUAAUAAGAUCACAAAAUUUCAACUCAAAUGACAUUUACAGACAUAUGAUAUAAAUUUUCUCACAACUAACUUGACUUUCCUGAGCUAUUUCUGUAAUUACUUUUAACCAACAGGUUUUAAGUGGAUGUACAGUAUGAAGUCAGUUCCCCUCAAUAACUGCAGUGUUGUCUCAGCAACCAAUGGCACACUGAUCGUCUGAUGCAUACUGCCCACAAAACCGGCAAGGACUUUCUUAAUCUGGCAAACUCUAAUUAUAGUGAUACUAAGGGGUACACAGAGUUUUCUGUCAGUCCACCUGAGAACAAAG
Long non-coding RNA from Cyprinus carpio carpio, 1124 nucleotides. NCBI's taxonomy places the organism in Eukaryota, Metazoa, Chordata, Actinopteri, Cypriniformes, Cyprinidae. The record is from Ensembl.